CCAAGGAGUCUAACAUGUGCGCGAGUCGUCGGGUAGUCUUCCCCGUAAGGCUAAACCCGUUCGGCGCAAUCAAAGUGAAGGCCGCGCCGCUUCCUUCCGCCCCUGUGCGGUCGGGCGGCCGGCCGAAGCGGGAUCCGCAUCUCGGGCAAACGGUACUCGCUAGCCCUGCGGCGCACCGCUGGCCCGUCUUAUCCGCACCGUCGGUGAGGCGGAGCCCGAGCGUACACGUUGGGACCCGAAAGAUGGUGAACUAUGCUUGGGCAGGACGAAGCCAGAGGAAACUCUGGUGGAGGUCCGUAGCGAUUCUGACGUGCAAAUCGAUCGUCAGACCUGAGUAUAGGGGCGAAAGACUAAUCGAACCGUCUA
This 366-nucleotide ribosomal RNA is filed under the name Cryptops galatheae. RNAcentral describes it as "eukaryotic LSU rRNA". It matches the Rfam family "Eukaryotic large subunit ribosomal RNA", at positions 666 to 946 of the family's 3401-position model. Lineage: Eukaryota; Metazoa; Arthropoda; Chilopoda; Scolopendromorpha; Cryptopidae. The record is from RNAcentral.